CAAUAGCACCAGCAGCUUGGGGACAAGACAAUGGACGAACCUUCAGGGACCACUUUGCUGCAACUCACUUCAGACUGCAGUAAUGUUCAAAAGACAUUGAAGACAGAGCUUCCAGGUCGUCCCAGAACACUGAUGCUUGGGCUCUUCUAGCGUUGCCCUCCCGGCAGCAACAAGGCCAGCACCAUGGGACUUCUCGGGUGAUGGCCCCAACACAAUGCAGGUGUCAUCAGAGCUGUGACAGAAAGAGAUAAAAAUGUUCGAUGGCACCCCGGCACCAAGUGGUCAUUGCCGCGCUGUCUGUUCAGUGCCUGUCACAGGUUAUGCAGGAUGGCCAGUGGUGCCCUUGUUCUGUGGCAACUGCAGGUGGUGUGUGGAACUGUGUGAAGAGACAAAAAAUGAAGUCCAUGAUAGUGAGGGCAAAAUUUACUGAUGUACCAAGGUGUGGCUCAGCGACAGGCUGCAGAGUUCAGGUAAAUGGUAAAAAAUGUGUCAAAUUUUGCACAAAAAGCAGUGCCCUUCAUGGAUCAGUUAAGAGCCCAUUUUUAAGUUGAUCUGUUACAUAGAAAUAGAUUUAAAUGUGGCAUGAAUAUACAUGAUGUACUGGGUCUGCUGAAGAUAAAAAAAUUGGUUUAUCAAUUAGAUGAACCAUGAUCCCGGGGUAUUGAAUGGGGAACUUGGACUAUAUAAUUGCUCCAAUAAAUGGCCAAUUGAUCUGUAAUAGACAAUAGCAGCAUGAUGAAUGGUGGUAAGUCCCAUGACAAUUACACAUUAGGUAAAUCUAGAAUUUAGAUCAUCCCAACGGUGAAGAGAAUCAGGCUUGCUUGAGUGUUCCGGCUUUAACCCAGAAACGAUUGCAUUAUUACUAGUAACUGGCCUAAUAAAUUGUUUCAUUAAAAUCCUACAUAGAAUUGAUAAGGAAAGUAGCAAGUUUCAUAUUUUAUUUGGCAUUGGCCAAGCCUCACCUUGAUGUUUCAUUUCAGUGAGGGACGUUUUUAACUGAAUUUUGUCCGGGGUCACAACUGUACCCAGUCCCUUGGCGGGAAGGAGACGGAAAUGCAACACCCCUCAUUUUCUUCUCUGCAAGGGCUGUGAGGAAAAUUACCACAAUAUUUCAAUAAAAUUCAAAUGAUUUUGUA
Molecule: long non-coding RNA, 1136 nt
Organism: Eriocheir sinensis (Chinese mitten crab)
Lineage: Eukaryota; Metazoa; Arthropoda; Malacostraca; Decapoda; Varunidae
Exons: 4
Source: RefSeq, a predicted model, not a curated record